GGGUAAGAGGGAGAGAGAGAUGAGGGUAAGAGUAGAGAGGGAGAGAGAGAUGAGGGUAAGAAGAGAGAGGGAGAGAGAAUGAGGGUAAGAGUAGAGAGAGAGAGAUGAGGGUAAGAGGAGAGAGAUGAGGGUAAGAGUAAAGAGAGAGAGAGAGAUGAGGGUAAGAGUAAAGAGAGAGAGAGAAUGAGGGUAAGAGUAAAGAGAGAGAGAGAUGAGGGUAAGAAGAGAGAGAUGAGGGUAAGAGUAAAGAGAGAGAGAGAAUGAGGGUAAGAGUAGAGUGAGAGAGAGAUGAGGAGAGAGGGAGAGAGAGAUGAGGGUAAGAGUAAAGAGAGAGAGAAUGAGGGUAAGAGUAAAGAGAGAGAGAGAGAGAGAGAAUGAGGGUAAGAGUAUAGAGAGAGAGAGAAUGAGGGUAAGAGUAUAGAGAGAGAGAGAUGAGGGAAAGAGUAGAGGGAGAGAGAGAGAAAAUAAUACUGAAUUAUAGAAGAGAACUGGGAUCUCUUAACACACACACAGAGACCUUGAGACUUACUCACGUGACAUGAGUUAUGUGUGCUCUCCACCCACUGCCAUGUGUGCUGUCUAUUAGAGCUGUCUGGUGUGGGCCAGUCUGUUUAAUAUAUCUCCUCGAAGACCUUUACACACAUCACACAUACUGCAUGCCCACAUUGACAUUUACAUGAAUCACACUCAUCACACUCAAACAUUCCACAUUUACGAGGUGAAAACCAACCCCAAAUAUUACACAUACCAGUACAUGAUAUAAAUUCUAGAAACAUUACAUAGAUUACAUUGCACCCAGACUCAUACAAUCAUAUUUCCAUUAGCAUGGCCAGGCAAAACAGAACAGCUUAUCAGACAUAAACGGCCUCUUUCCCCAAUAACACAACAACUUCCCCUCUUUCUCUCGCUGUCCUCCUUCCUCUCUCUCUCUCUCUCUCUCUCUCUCUCUCACCUUCCCCUCUGACCCAACUACAAGUUCUCCUUCCCCUCCCAUCUUCCUCUCUCCCUCCCAACGGCUGUUUUCAUCCUUCUUUUCCCUCUCUAAAUGGUGGUGUGAGGUUAAAUCCAGAGGAGGCUGGUGGGAGGAGCUUUGGUGUGACGGGCUCAUUGUAAUGGCUGUAUUGGAAUCGAUGGAACGAUAUCAAACACAUCAAACAUUUGGAAACCACACGUUUGACUCGGUUCCACUUAUUCCUUUCCAGCCAUUACAAUUAAGCCAUCCUCCUAUAGCUCCCCCCACCAGCCUCCUCUGGAUACAUCAGAGCCUAACGACAAACCUCCCUCCUCCCACCACCAGCACCACAUGUGACACACACUCACUCACUCUGUCCUCAGGACACAUACAGUGAGCGAGAACAGGGAGAUAAGAUGGAGAGAGAGACUAAGGGAUGGUGAUAGAGAGAAGGAGAGAGAGUAAGGGAUAGUGAUAGAGAGAAUGAGAGAGAGUAAGGGAUAGUGAUAGAGAGAAGGAGAGAGAGUAAGGGAUAGUGAUAGAGAGAAGGAGAGAGAGUAAGGGAUAGUGAUAGCGAGAAGGAGAGAGAGUAAGGGAUGGUGAUAGAGAGAAGAAGAGAGAGUAAGGGAUAGUGAUAGAGAGAAGGAGAGAGAGUAAGGGAUGGUGAUAGAGAGAAGAAGAGAGAGUAAGGGAUAGUGAUAGAGAGAAGGAGAGAGAGUAAUGGAUAGUGAUAGAGAGUAAGGGAUGGUGAUAGAGAGAAGGAGAGAGAGUAAUGGAUAGUGAUAGAGAGAAGGAGAGAGAGUAAGGGAUAGUGAUAGAGAGAAGGAGAGAGAGUAAGGGAUAGUGAUAGAGAGAAGGAGAGAGAGUAAGGGAUAGUGAUAGAGAGAAGGAGAGAGAGUAAGGGAUAGUGAUAGAGAGAAGGAGAGAG
Molecule: long non-coding RNA, 1880 nt
Organism: Oncorhynchus tshawytscha (Chinook salmon)
Lineage: Eukaryota; Metazoa; Chordata; Actinopteri; Salmoniformes; Salmonidae
Source: Ensembl